Molecule: ribosomal RNA, 253 nt
Filed under: uncultured bacterium
Lineage: Bacteria
Description: partial 16S ribosomal RNA
Rfam family: Bacterial small subunit ribosomal RNA
Source: RNAcentral
UACGUAGGGUGCAAGCGUUGUCCGGAAUUAUUGGGCGUAAAGAGCUCGUAGGCGGUCUGUCGCGUCUGCUGUGAAAACCUGGGGCUUAACCCCGGGCCUGCAGUGGGUACGGGCAGACUAGAGUGUGGUAGGGGAGACUGGAAUUCCUGGUGUAGCGGUGAAAUGCGCAGAUAUCAGGAGGAACACCGGUGGCGAAGGCGGGUCGCUGGGCCAUAACUGACGCUGAGGAGCGAAAGCGUGGGGAGCGAACAGG